GACGAACGCUGGCGGCGUGCCUAAUACAUGCAAGUCGAGCGGACAGAUGGGAGCUUGCUCCCUCAUGUUAGCGGCGGACGGGUGAGUAACACGUGGGUAACCUGCCUGUAAGACUGGGAUAACUCCGGGAAACCGGGGCUAAUACCGGAUGGUUGUUUGAACCGCAUGGUUCAAAUAUAAAAGGUGGCUUCGGCUGCCACUUACAGAUGGACCCGCGGCGCAUUAGCUAGUUGGUGAGGUAACGGCUCACCAAGGCAACGAUGCGUAGCCGACCUGAGAGGGUGAUCGGCCACACUGGGACUGAGACACGGCCCAGACUCCUACGGGAGGCAGCAGUAGGGAAUCUUCCGCAAUGGACGAAAGUCUGACGGAGCAACGCCGCGUGAGUGAUGAAGGUUUUCGGAUCGUAAAGCUCUGUUGUUAGGGAAGAACAAGUACCGUUCGAAUAGGGCGGUACCUUGACGGUACCUAACCAGAAAGCCACGGCUAACUACGUGCCAGCAGCCGCAGUAA
RNAcentral lists this ribosomal RNA (513 nucleotides) under uncultured bacterium. Its description in RNAcentral is "partial 16S ribosomal RNA". It matches the Rfam family "Bacterial small subunit ribosomal RNA", at positions 28 to 523 of the family's 1533-position model. The record is from RNAcentral.